GCUGUGAUGACUCUUUGGUGUUGAUCAUCUGAAAUGAUGAUACCCUCGUGUCCUCUAAGAAGUUCUGAGCUU
Molecule: small nucleolar RNA, 72 nt
Organism: Anser brachyrhynchus (Pink-footed goose)
Lineage: Eukaryota; Metazoa; Chordata; Aves; Anseriformes; Anatidae
Gene: SNORD61
Product: small nucleolar RNA, C/D box 61
Source: Ensembl